RNAcentral lists this ribosomal RNA (466 nucleotides) under uncultured Glomus. RNAcentral describes it as "SSU rRNA". It matches the Rfam family "Eukaryotic small subunit ribosomal RNA", at positions 569 to 1039 of the family's 1831-position model. The record is from RNAcentral. Lineage: Eukaryota; Fungi; Glomeromycota; Glomeromycetes; Glomerales; Glomeraceae.
AGCAGCCGCGGUAAUUCCAGCUCCAAUAGCGUAUAUUAAAGUUGUUGCAGUUAAAAAGCUCGUAGUUGAAUUUCGGGGUCAGUAGUCUGGUCGUGCCACUGGUAUGCACUGGUCUUACUGAUUCCUCCUUCCUGAUGAACCGUAAUGCCAUUAAUUUGGUGUUGCGGGGAAUCUGGACUGUUACUUUAGAAAAAUUAGAGUGUUUAAAGCAGGCUAACGCCUGAAUACAUUAGCAUGGAAUAAUGAAAUAGGACGAUCGAUCCUAUUUUGUUGGUUUCUAGGAUUGACGUAAUGAUUAAUAGGGAUAGUUGGGGGCAUUAGUAUUCAAUUGUCAGAGGUGAAAUUCUUGGAUUUAUUGAAGACUAACUACUGCGAAAGCAUUUGCCAAGGAUGUUUUCAUUAAUCAAGAACGAAAGUUAGGGGAUCGAAGACGAUCAGAUACCGUCGUAGUCUUAACCAUAAACUA